UAAUAAGUGUUUUAUGGCACUUUUAAAAAUCCAUAUCCACCUUGUGUGCAAUGUCAGAAGAAAAGAAGCUGCGAGUCAUGGGAGAACCCAAGUCAUGCUACCUUUAUCUUUUCAAUAACCUCUAUAGUCUAUGUCUGAAGAUAGUUAGAGAAUGACUAAUUCUAAAAU
Molecule: unclassified non-coding RNA, 168 nt
Filed under: soil metagenome
Description: partial internal transcribed spacer 1
Source: RNAcentral